RNAcentral lists this ribosomal RNA (279 nucleotides) under uncultured bacterium. Its description in RNAcentral is "partial 16S ribosomal RNA". It matches the Rfam family "Bacterial small subunit ribosomal RNA", at positions 506 to 784 of the family's 1533-position model. The record is from RNAcentral.
UGCCAGCCGCCGCGGUAAUACGGAGGGUGCAAGCGUUGUUCGGAAUUAUUGGGCGUAAAGCGCGCGUAGGUGGCCAAGUCAGUCAGAUGUGAAAGCCCUGGGCUCAACCUGGGAACUGCAUCUGAUACUGCUUGGCUAGAGUAUGGUAGAGGGGUGUGGAAUUUCCUGUGUAGCGGUGAAAUGCGUAGAUAUAGGAAGGAACACCAGUGGCGAAGGCGACACCCUGGACCAAUACUGACACUCAUCCGCGAAAGCGUGGGGAGCAAACAGGAUUAGAUA